This 465-nucleotide ribosomal RNA is filed under the name uncultured bacterium. Its description in RNAcentral is "partial 16S ribosomal RNA". It matches the Rfam family "Bacterial small subunit ribosomal RNA", at positions 28 to 507 of the family's 1533-position model. The record is from RNAcentral.
GACGAACGCUGGCGGCGUGCUUAACACAUGCAAGUCGAACGGAAAGGCCCCUUUGGGGGUACUCGAGUGGCGAACGGGUGAGUAACACGUGAGUAACCUGCCCUUGACUUCGGGAUAACUUCAGGAAACUGGGGCUAAUACCGGAUAGGAAUCCUUGCUGCAUGGUGGGGGUUGGAAAGCUUCGGCGGUUUUGGAUGGACUCGCGGCUUAUCAGCUUGUUGGUGGGGUAGUGGCUUACCAAGGCUUUGACGGGUAGCCGGCCUGAGAGGGCGACCGGCCACAUUGGGACUGAGAUACGGCCCAGACUCCUACGGGAGGCAGCAGUGGGGAAUAUUGCACAAUGGGCGGAAGCCUGAUGCAGCAACGCCGCGUGCGGGAUGACGGCCUUCGGGUUGUAAACCGCUUUCAGCAGGGGCGAAGCUUGUGGUGACGGUACCUGUAGAAGAAGCACCGGCUAACUACGUG